AAACUGAAGAGUUUGAUCAUGGCUCAGAUUGAACGCUGGCGGCAGGCCUAACACAUGCAAGUCGAGCGGUAACAGAUCUAGCUUGCUAGAUGCUGACGAGCGGCGGACGGGUGAGUAAUGCAUAGAAAUCUGCCUGGUAGUGGGGGAUAGCCCAGAGAAAUUUGGAUUAAUACCGCAUACGCCCUACGGGGGAAAGCAGGGGACCUUCGGGCCUUGCGCUAUCAGAUGAGUCUAUGUCGGAUUAGCUUGUUGGUGAGGUAAUGGCUCACCAAGGCGACGAUCCGUAGCUGGUCUGAGAGGAUGAUCAGCCACACUGGGACUGAGACACGGCCCAGACUCCUACGGGAGGCAGCAGUGG
Ribosomal RNA from Endozoicomonas sp., 358 nucleotides. It matches the Rfam family "Bacterial small subunit ribosomal RNA", at positions 1 to 357 of the family's 1533-position model. The record is from Rfam. NCBI's taxonomy places the organism in Bacteria, Pseudomonadati, Pseudomonadota, Gammaproteobacteria, Oceanospirillales, Endozoicomonadaceae.